This is a non-coding RNA of Picea glauca (white spruce), 122 nucleotides long. Lineage: Eukaryota; Viridiplantae; Streptophyta; Pinopsida; Pinales; Pinaceae. The record is from Rfam.
UUAUGUGCAUGCCUACAACGUUAAUGCACUGGGUCCCACUAAAAAUUUGUAGUUAAUCACGCUUGGGCUAGAGUAGUACUGGGAUAGGUGACCUUCUGAUAAUUCCUAGUGUUUUACAUACC